This 275-nucleotide ribosomal RNA is filed under the name uncultured bacterium. RNAcentral describes it as "partial 16S ribosomal RNA". It matches the Rfam family "Bacterial small subunit ribosomal RNA", at positions 338 to 606 of the family's 1533-position model. The record is from RNAcentral.
CCUACGGGGGGCUGCAGUGGGGAAUCUUGCGCAAUGGGCGAAAGCCUGACGCAGCGACGCCGCGUGAGUGAUGAAGGCCUUCGGGUUGUAAAGCUCUGUGGGGAGAGACGAAUAAGCUGUGGCUAAUAUCCACGGUGAUGACGGUAUCUCCUUAGCAAGCACCGGCUAACUCUGUGCCAGCAGCCGCGGUAAGACAGAGGGUGCAAACGUUGUUCGGAAUUACUGGGCGUAAAGCGCAUGUAGGCGGCUUUGCAGGUCGGAUGUGAAAGCCCUCG